RNAcentral lists this ribosomal RNA (30 nucleotides) under Longidorus crassus. RNAcentral describes it as "partial 5.8S ribosomal RNA". Lineage: Eukaryota; Metazoa; Nematoda; Enoplea; Dorylaimida; Longidoridae. RNAcentral also lists the same sequence under 1 other name. The record is from RNAcentral.
CCAUUCUAAACGGUGGAUCACUCGGCUCGU